This 405-nucleotide ribosomal RNA is filed under the name uncultured bacterium. RNAcentral describes it as "bacterial SSU rRNA". It matches the Rfam family "Bacterial small subunit ribosomal RNA", at positions 355 to 776 of the family's 1533-position model. The record is from RNAcentral.
GAAGGAAUUUUGGACAAUGGGGGAAACCCUGAUCCAGCAACGCCGCGUGGGCGAUGAAGGUCUUCGGAUCGUAAAGCCCUUUUCUGCGGGAAGAGAGAGGACGGUACCGCAGGAAUAAGUCUCGGCUAACUACGUGCCAGCAGCCGCGGUAAAACGUAGGAGGCGAGCGUUAUCCGGAUUUACUGGGCGUAAAGCGCAUGCAGGCGGUUCUGCAAGUUGGGCGUGAAAUCUCUCGGCUUAACCGGGAGGGGUCGUUCAAUACUGCAGGACUUGAGUGCAGGAGAGGAAAGCGGAAUUCCCGGUGUAGCGGUAAUAUGCGCAGAUAUCGGGAAGAACACCAGUGGCGAAGGCGGCUUUCUGGCCUGUAACUGACGCUAAGAUGCGAAAGCCAGGGGAGCGAACGGG